ACAAGAUGGUUGACUCAACGCCUGAGUCUUCCAUCAAGGAGCCACCGGCACGCCAUCAUAGAGGCCGCAGGAGGAGGAGACAGGCGUCAGCCGUUCCUCAAAGCCCGGAGGACGUUCCCGAGCAGGCCGCUGCCGUCCAGGAGGACGUUCCCGAGCGGGCCGCUGCCGUCCAGGAGGACGUUCCCGAGCGGGCCGCUGCCGUCCAGGAGGACGUUCCCGAGCAGGCCGCUGUCGUCCAGGUGGAGGUGCCCGAGGUUCCCGAGGCGGGGCUCGAGGUGGUUCUGGAGGCCGAGGCUGUGCCCGAUGCCGAGGCGGUGCCUGAUGCGGUGGCCGAGGCGGUUCCCGAUGCAAUGUCCGAUGCCGAGGCGGUGCCCGAUGCCGAGGCGGUGCCCGAUGCCGAGGCGGUGCCCGAUGCCGAGGCGGUGCCCGAGGCGGUGCCCGAACCCGAGGUUGUUCCCGAGGCGACGCCCGUGUCCAGGGCCAUUCCCGAGGCGGUGUUCUUGUUCCAUGCCGUUCCUGAGGCCGCUCCCGAGGUGGUGCCCGAGCCCGAGGUCAUGCCCGAGAUCGUUCCCGAGGCGGUGCCCGAACCCGAGGUUGUUCCCGAGGCGACGCCCGUGUCCAAGGCCGUUCCCGAGGCGGUGCCCUUGUCCAAAGCCGUUCCCGAGGCGGUGUCCAAUGCCGUGACCUGGCCAUCGCCACAGCCUGCUCCUUACUGGCUCCCCGAUUGGCAGGUUCCGUUCGGGCCACUCAAAUGGCGAAUUCCUCCCUGGCCGUCUGCACAACGAGAAUGGACUGAUCCACCGUGGCCACCUGAACUGCCUGGCCCCUCGUGGUCCCCUGAACUUUCGGGUCCACCGUGGCCACCUGAACUGCCUGGUCCCUCGUGGUCCCCUGAACUUUCGGGUCCACCAUGGCCCCCUGAUCUGACCGAGCCACUUGGGCUACCAGGGGAGCCAUCGCUGCCGGUCCCAGUUCCCCUACACGGGCCUGGCCCGCCAUCCCUCCCCCUGUUCUGCCUCCACCAGUCCACCUCCC
Long non-coding RNA from Cyprinus carpio carpio, 1035 nucleotides. The record is from Ensembl. Lineage: Eukaryota; Metazoa; Chordata; Actinopteri; Cypriniformes; Cyprinidae.